GCUUCCUUUGAUCAGCCAAGAAAAGAAGAAGAAAGGAAAAGAAAAAGAAAAUAAAAGAAAAGAAGAAGAAGAAAAGAGAGAAAAGUGUCCUCUCUCUUUUGAGUCUCUAGGAUUUUUCCCUCUCUCAUUCUCUCUCUUCCACUUCUCUCUCUAGAAGAUGGUGGGAUCUUAGAUGCUAUUUUCUCUCUCUAUUUUUUCUCUCUAAAAAUACCUAUGGACC
RNAcentral lists this long non-coding RNA (220 nucleotides) under Elaeis guineensis (African oil palm). RNAcentral describes it as "long non-coding RNA (EGUI_LNC025864)". The record is from RNAcentral. Lineage: Eukaryota; Viridiplantae; Streptophyta; Magnoliopsida; Arecales; Arecaceae.